UAAUACUUUUUUGAGGCUUUUUUCAAUAUUAGUUUUUUCAGUGAAUGUUGGGAAUUCAUGUAAUUGAUGUGUACAGAAUGAGAUGGGAUUAUGUGAUCAUCCUGCGUAGCAUUUUUAACACCAAUUUUUAACUUCAGGGGCUGAACUUGAAUCAUUGCAGGCAUAGCCUGAUGAUCCUCACAAGUCACAAGUAUAUAGAGUGUAACUGGCCUUUCAAAGUAAGAUUAUUUUUGUGCUUAUGUCAUGCUGUUAGUAUUCUUGGUUCAAUAACAGUGCAGUUAACUGUCAGCAAGUAAACAUAGAAGAGGCAGAAAAAUGUCAUCACCUCUUAAGAGGAAUCAGAAAGUAGAAAGACUGCACUGUGACAAAAGAGAUAAAUUUAAAUGUUUAAACAGAAUUAUUACAGCAAAUAAAACAUUGUUUACAUAAUGGAGCAGAAAUAGUUCUGUGAUUAAUGCAAUUGACAGCACAUAACCUAUAACAGAAGUCUUGCACUGAAAUCACGCUAAUUGAAACAACUGUCAUUUAAUAAUGAAAUGACGUAAAAUGAUAGCAAAAGAGUUUACACUGAAAUAUACAAAGCUCAGUCAUAGUACAUUUUAGAUAAUAUACAAUUUAUAAUUUUUUGGAAAUACCUUUCAGUCUUUUGGGCUACAUACAAUUCCUGUAGGAUGGGAGGCAUCAGGAGAUCUUACGUUUUUCUCAUCAGUUAAUCUAGAAACCAGAGAGGCCUUCAAACCAAAUUUUCAAGGGACUACAAGCUUCCAGCCAGAAGGGCAGGGCAGAGCAGUAACUGCAACACUGUAUGAGGAAUCUGUUUAUCUUCCUGUUCCAGAGAGAAACUUUCUCCGCCCAUCCAAAGGCGCAUUUGCAAAGGCAGCUUCUGUUUUUUUCCUGGCAAAUCUACAAUGCAAAUCUAUCGUGACUGAUUGAGAGGGUAGCAUUAUCACAGAAGAUUUGGUGGACAAGUGUAAUCAGGAUCUGCAUUACCAUGGCAGCUUUCUCUGUUACGCCAAUGGGACUGCUCUGAAUUUUAAAAGAUCUGAAUUUGGCUGUGGAUGAGUAAGCAGAUGCAGUAUGCAAAUACUGUGCUUGUGACUUCAACAGCAGGUUGCAGAAAAAGAAUAUCUGAUCAAUCGCCCUGUCCCAGACUAGCCGCAGGAAAUGUUGCUUCUGGUAUGAUGGGGCUUUACAGAUGUCUGUCUCAUCAUUGUGUUUUACUACUCAAAUGUCCUUGAAAUUUUCAAGAUAGAGCUUUAAGAAGCAACACAAAAUGUUUGAUAAAGUGACAUUAUUUUAUACUAUACAGAAUAACUGAGAAAGUGAUGUGAAACAAGUGCCUACAAUAUGUUUAUUUUUUUCUUGAAAGUUUGACUUUUCAGAUUGUAAAACUUCAACCUGCUACCCAUGAAGAAACAGAACAAAAUAGUAUCACUUUCAAACAGCUGCAUGGUCUAUUUAAAUGUGUAUAAUAGACAUGAAAUAAUCACCUUCAUUCAGAUAUUGGGGUUGUGAUUUAACAGAAAAAAUUCCUCUGAAAGAAGAACGCUAUUCCUGGACUUCAGUAGAAAAAAGUUACAGAAAGAGGACGGCUUGUGGUGGUCAACGGAUUGUAAG
Gallus gallus (chicken) is the source of this 1617-nucleotide long non-coding RNA. RefSeq lists it as uncharacterized. The record is from RefSeq and is a predicted model, not a curated record. The transcript has 5 exons. NCBI's taxonomy places the organism in Eukaryota, Metazoa, Chordata, Aves, Galliformes, Phasianidae.